Molecule: ribosomal RNA, 484 nt
Filed under: uncultured bacterium
Lineage: Bacteria
Description: partial 16S ribosomal RNA
Rfam family: Bacterial small subunit ribosomal RNA
Source: RNAcentral
GUUGAACGCUGGCGGCAGGCCUAACACAUGCAAGUCGAGCGGAUGAAGGGAGCUUGCUCCUGGAUUCAGCGGCGGACGGGUGGGUAAUGCCUAGGAAUCUGCCUGGUAGUGGGGGAUAACGUCCGGAAACGGGCGCUAAUACCGCAUACGUCCUGAGGGAGAAAGUGGGGGAUCUUCGGACCUCACGCUAUCAGAUGAGCCUAGGUCGGAUUAGCUAGUUGGUGGGGUAAAGGCCUACCAAGGCGACGAUCCGUAACUGGUCUGAGAGGAUGAUCAGUCACACUGGAACUGAGACACGGUCCAGACUCCUACGGGAGGCAGCAGUGGGGAAUAUUGGACAAUGGGCGAAAGCCUGAUCCAGCCAUGCCGCGUGUGUGAAGAAGGUCUUCGGAUUGUAAAGCACUUUAAGUUGGGAGGAAGGGCAGUAAGUUAAUACCUUGCUGUUUUGACGUUACCAACAGAAUAAGCACCGGCUAACUUCGUG